RNAcentral lists this ribosomal RNA (441 nucleotides) under Geodermatophilus sp. RNAcentral's name for it is "bacterial SSU rRNA". It matches the Rfam family "Bacterial small subunit ribosomal RNA", at positions 20 to 477 of the family's 1533-position model. The record is from RNAcentral. Lineage: Bacteria; Bacillati; Actinomycetota; Actinomycetes; Geodermatophilales; Geodermatophilaceae.
UGGCUCAGGACGAACGCUGGCGGCGUGCUUAACACAUGCAAGUCGAACGGUGAACCUCUUCGGAGGGGAUCAGUGGCGAACGGGUGAGUAACACGUGGGCAACCUGCCCCCGGCUCUGGGAUAACUCCAAGAAAUUGGGGCUAAUACCGGAUGGUCACCGCGCACCGCAUGGUGGGUGGUGGAAAGGGUUUCCGGCUGGGGAUGGGCCCGCGGCCUAUCAGCUUGUUGGUGGGGUAGUGGCCUACCAAGGCGACGACGGGUAGCCGGCCUGAGAGGGUGACCGGCCACACUGGGACUGAGACACGGCCCAGACUCCUACGGGAGGCAGCAGUGGGGAAUAUUGCGCAAUGGGCGGAAGCCUGACGCAGCGACGCCGCGUGGGGGAUGACGGCCUUCGGGUUGUAAACCUCUUUCAGCAGGGACGAAGCGCAAGUGACGGUA